RNAcentral lists this transfer RNA (75 nucleotides) under Planctomycetaceae bacterium. RNAcentral describes it as "tRNA-Asn". It matches the Rfam family "tRNA". From Rfam's summary of the family: Transfer RNA (tRNA) molecules are approximately 80 nucleotides in length. The record is from RNAcentral. Lineage: Bacteria; Pseudomonadati; Planctomycetota; Planctomycetia; Planctomycetales; Planctomycetaceae.
UGCCUCGUAGUUCAGUGGUAGAACGCCCGCCUGUUAAGCGGACUGUCGCUGGUUCGAUCCCAGCCGAGGCAGCCA